AACAAUCUGCACAAUCCACGAUG
RNAcentral lists this small nuclear RNA (23 nucleotides) under Arabidopsis thaliana (thale cress). RNAcentral's name for it is "snRNA_06881". The record is from RNAcentral. Lineage: Eukaryota; Viridiplantae; Streptophyta; Magnoliopsida; Brassicales; Brassicaceae.